AUACGGAAGGUCCGGGCGUUAUCCGGAUUUAUUGGGUUUAAAGGGAGCGCAGGCGGAGAUGCAAGCGUGACGUCAAAUUUCGGGGCUCAACCCCGUCUCGCGUCGCGAACUGCGUCCCUUGGUUGCGGGAAGGGGAGGCGGAACUCGUGGGGUAGCGGUGAAAUGCAUAGAUAUCACGAAGAACUCCGAUCGCGAAGGCAGCCUUCCGGCCCGUCAACGACGCUCAUGCUCGAAGGUGCGGGUAUCAAACAGGAUUAGAUACCCUGGUAGUCCGCACAGUAAACGAUGGACACCCGCGGUUUGGCCUAUAUGGCUGAGCCGCCAAGCGAAAGCGUUAAGUGUCCCACCUGGGGAGUACGCCGGCAACGGUGAAACUCAAAUGAAUUGGCGGGG
Molecule: ribosomal RNA, 393 nt
Filed under: uncultured bacterium
Lineage: Bacteria
Description: partial 16S ribosomal RNA
Rfam family: Bacterial small subunit ribosomal RNA
Source: RNAcentral